AUUUUGGCGUCUGCUUGUGGUCAUCCUUUUUGUGUUGAAUGUUGGAAAGGGUAUAUUUCUAAUUCAAUAACUGAUGGUCCUGGAUGCUUGAAUUUGCGAUGUGCAGAACCCUCUUGUAAAGUUGCUGUUUCACAGGAUAUGAUUGAUCGGUUAGCAUCUGAUGAUGAUAAAAAGAGGUAUUAUGGAUUUCUUUUUCGUUCUUAUGUUGAGGAAAAUAGGAAGAUUAAGUGGUGUCCUGCUCCUGGAUGUAAUUUUGCAGUUGAAUUUGAUAUAGGGAGUGAUAAUUGUGAAGUUAUAUGUGUCUGUUCGAAUUAUUUUUGUUGGAGUUGUACAGAGGAAGCUCAUAGUCCGGUUGAUUGUGAUAUGGUGGUUAAGUGGAUGGAGAAAAAUAAUGCAGAAUCAGAGAACACAAAUUGGAUUUUGGCUUACACAAAGGCUUGUCCAAAAUGCAAGAGGCCAAUUGAAAAGAAUGAAGGGUGUAUGCGUAUGACUUGUCGAGACCCUUGCAAGUAUCAGUUUUGUUGGUUGUGCCUUAAUUCCUGGUCAGUUCAUGGUUAUAAUUCAUGUAACAAGUACAUGCCAGGGAAUGAAGAUGACCAAAAGAAAGAAAUGGCCAAGCAAUCUAUUGAGAAGUACACUCAUUAUUAUGAGAGAUGGGCUGCUAAUGAGAAGUCAAGGAGAAAA
RNAcentral lists this unclassified non-coding RNA (684 nucleotides) under Hevea brasiliensis (rubber tree). The record is from RNAcentral. Lineage: Eukaryota; Viridiplantae; Streptophyta; Magnoliopsida; Malpighiales; Euphorbiaceae.